AUUUUCCUACCCUCUCAGAAAUGAGCAAGAAUUGACUAAGCUCCAUGAACCUGAGAAGAGAAAGAGGCGGCCCGUAAAAGGCUGAAACACAAUGGGCAGGGAGACUCCACAAUGCCCAGAGACACCAAAGGGAUGGCGUGUGUGCGGUCACACGCGCACUGUGUGUGUGUAUCUCCUCUGCAUAUGUACACAGGCGUCGAGAGUAAAUUGUUGUCAUGGCUCUCGUCUCUCGGCGGUGAGUGCCAUGGACCUGAUUUUGAGCUCCCUGAAACAGCAUCCCUGGCUGUUCUGGCAUCACAAGGAUUAUUUUGAGUGGACGACUUUGAGGAACUGUAGAUGCAGGCAAAGCUCAGAAAAUGAAGUCCAACUUACACUUUUGUAAGGGCAAUUUAUAUGUAAAAAGGAAAUAUCUUUGUAAUCUCCAUCCUUCU
Molecule: long non-coding RNA, 431 nt
Organism: Tupaia belangeri chinensis (Chinese tree shrew)
Lineage: Eukaryota; Metazoa; Chordata; Mammalia; Scandentia; Tupaiidae
Exons: 3
Source: RefSeq, a predicted model, not a curated record